This 459-nucleotide ribosomal RNA is filed under the name uncultured bacterium. Its description in RNAcentral is "partial 16S ribosomal RNA". It matches the Rfam family "Bacterial small subunit ribosomal RNA", at positions 338 to 795 of the family's 1533-position model. The record is from RNAcentral.
CCUACGGGUGACAGCAGUGAGGAAUAUUGGUCAAUGGCCGCAGGGCUGAACCAGCCAAGUCGCGUGAGGGAUGACGGUCCUAUGGAUUGUAAACCUCUUUUGUCAGGGAGCAAAGGGCGCCACGUGUGGCGCUUUGCGAGUACCUGAAGAAAAAGCAUCGGCUAACUCCGUGCCAGCAGCCGCGGUAAUACGGAGGAUGCGAGCGGUAUCCGGAUUUAUUGGGUUUAAGGGGUGCGCAGGCGGAAUGUCAAGUCAGCGGUAAAAUUUCGGGGCUCAACCCCGUCGUGCCGUUGAAACUGGCGUUCUUGAGUGAGUGAGAAGUAUGCGGAAUGCGUGGUGUAGCGGUGAAAUGCAUAGAUAUCACGCAGAACUCCGAUUGCGAAGGCAGCAUACCGGCGCUCAACUGACGCUCAUGCACGAAAGUGUGGGUAUCGAACAGGAUUAGAUACCCGGGUAGUC